Molecule: ribosomal RNA, 254 nt
Filed under: uncultured bacterium
Lineage: Bacteria
Description: partial 16S ribosomal RNA
Rfam family: Bacterial small subunit ribosomal RNA
Source: RNAcentral
CACGUAGGGAGCAAGCGUUGUCCGGAUUUAUUGGGCGUAAAGAGCUCGUAGGUGGUUCGUUAAGUCGGGUGUGAAAACUCUGGGCUCAACUCAGAGACGCCACUCGAUACUGUCGUGACUGGAGUCUGGUAGGGGAGUGUGGAAUUCCCAGUGUAGCGGUGAAAUGCGCAGAUAUUGGGAGGAACACCAGUGGCGAAGGCGGCACUCUGGGCCAGUACUGACACUGAGGAGCGAAAGCGUGGGGAGCGAACAGG